Molecule: long non-coding RNA, 769 nt
Organism: Oncorhynchus tshawytscha (Chinook salmon)
Lineage: Eukaryota; Metazoa; Chordata; Actinopteri; Salmoniformes; Salmonidae
Source: Ensembl
GUGAGGUGUGACCUGAUUAAUGUGGGUGGUGAGGUGUGCCCUUAUUAAUAUGGGUGGUUUGGUGUGAGUGGACCAUUGUGGAUGGUGAGGUGUGACCUGAUCAAUAUGGGUGGUGAGGUGUGAUCUUAUUAAUAUGGGUGGUGAGGUGUGACUGGACCAAUAUGGGUGUUGAGCUGUGACAUGAUUAAUGUGGAUGCUGAAGUGUGACCUGAUCAAUAUGGGUGGUGAGGUGUGACCUGAUUGAUAAGAUGGUGAGGGGAUACCUGAUCAAUAUGGGUGGGGAGGUGUGACCUUAUUAAUAUGGGUGGUGAGGUGUGACCUGAUUAAUAUGGGUGGUGAGGUGUGACCUGAUUGAUAUGAUGGUGAGGUGUAUCUGAUUCAUAUGGGUGGUGAGGUGUGUCCUGAUCAAUAUGGGUGGUGAGGUGUGACCUGAUUAAUAUGGGUGGUGAGGUGUGCCCUUAUUAAUAUGGGUGGUUUGGUGUGAGUGGACCAUUGCGGAUGGUGAGGUGUGACCUGGUCAAAAUGGGGGGUGAGAUGUGACCUGAUCAAUAUGGGUGGUGAGGUGUGUCCUGAUUGAUGUGAUGGUGAGGUGUGACCUGAUUAAUAUGGGUGGUGAGGUGUGACCUGAUCAAUAUGGGGGGUGAGAUGUGACCCGAUCAAUAUGGGUGGUGAGGUGUGACCUGAUCAAUAUGUUGGGGUGAGAUGUAACCUGAUCAAUAUGGGUGUUGAGGUGUAACCUGAUCAAUAUGGGUGGUAAUAUGUGACCUGA